Long non-coding RNA from Xenopus laevis (African clawed frog), 260 nucleotides. RefSeq lists it as uncharacterized. The transcript is spliced from 3 exons. The record is from RefSeq and is a predicted model, not a curated record. Lineage: Eukaryota; Metazoa; Chordata; Amphibia; Anura; Pipidae.
UAUCUUUCACUGAACAAGGAACAGAUAUUAACCAUCAUUAGCCACUGCAAUCUUUUAUUUUGCUGAUAAGAGACAGCCAAUGCACUUCUCUUGAGAAUUAUCUUGUCUAUUUAUCUACUGCUCUAGCAUUUCUCAUCUUGUCCCAAGAACGAUCACUUGGAACUAAAUAUGAAGAUGGGAUUUGUUUCUGUUGCUUUGCUACUAUGCCUGCUUCUACAAGGAACUACACAAAUUACAUCACAAAGAACUACACAAAUGAC